UUGCCCUAGUAACGGCGAGUGAAGCGGCAAGAGCUCAGAUUUGAAAUCUGGCGCCUUCGGCGUCCGAGUUGUAAUCUGUAGAGGAUGCUAUUGGGUAGCCACCGGUCUAAGUCCCCUGGAACGGGGCGUCGCAGAGGGUGAGAAUCCCGUAUGUGACCGGAAGGGCGCCCUCCACAUAGCUCCUUCGACGAGUCGAGUUGUUUGGGAAUGCAGCUCUAAAUGGGAGGUAAAUUCCUUCUAAAGCUAAAUACCGGCCAGAGACCGAUAGCGCACAAGUAGAGUGAUCGAAAGAUGAAAAGCACUUUGGAAAGAGAGUUAAAAAGCACGUGAAAUUGUUGAAAGGGAAGCGCUUGCAACCAGACUUGUUGGCGGUGUUCCGCCGGUCUUCUGACCGGUGUACUCACCGUCUGCAGGCCAGCAUCAUCUGGGGCCGCCGGAUAAAAGCGGGGGGAAUGUGGCUCCCUCGGGAGUGUUAUAGCCCCUCGUGCAAUACGGCGUGCCUCGGGUGAGGUCCGCGCUUCGGCUAGGAUGCUGGCGUAAUGGUCGUAAGCGGCCCGUCUUGAAACACGGACCAAGGAGUCUAACAUCUAUGCGAGUGUUCGGGUGUCAAACCCCUACGCGUAAUGAAAGUGAACGGAGGUGGGAGCCUUAGGGUGCACCAUCGACCGAUCCUGAUGUCUUCGGAUGGAUUUGAGUAAGAGCAUAGCUGUUGGGACCCGAAAGAUGGUGAACUAUGCCUGGAUAGGGUGAAGCCAGAGGAAACUCUGGUGGAGGCUCGCAGCGGUUCUGACGUGCAAAUCGAUCGUCAAAUUUGGGUAUAGGGGCGAAAGACUAAU
Molecule: ribosomal RNA, 836 nt
Filed under: Chaetocapnodium summerellii
Lineage: Eukaryota; Fungi; Ascomycota; Dothideomycetes; Capnodiales; Capnodiaceae
Also listed under: 1 other name
Description: Chaetocapnodium sp. JA-2019a partial large subunit ribosomal RNA
Rfam family: Eukaryotic large subunit ribosomal RNA
Source: RNAcentral